Molecule: long non-coding RNA, 801 nt
Organism: Helianthus annuus (common sunflower)
Lineage: Eukaryota; Viridiplantae; Streptophyta; Magnoliopsida; Asterales; Asteraceae
Exons: 2
Source: RefSeq, a predicted model, not a curated record
AGCAAACAAGAAGAAAAUGAUACCAUCAAUCAUUCUUGCAAUUCUUCUAUUGCAUAACAUGAACCCCAUUGAAAUCCCCAAAUUCACCAUACAAGAUGCCACAAUCGAUGACAUUCAAGCAGGACAAACUUACAUCCAAAGAGCUAGUUGAAUUUUACAUCCAGCAGAUACACAAACUCAAUCCGAUCUAUCGAGCAGUCAUCGAGGUCAACCCAGAUGCAGUUCAUCAAGCUGAUCAACAACGAAAGAAUAAGGACCCAAUUUCACAAUUUGGGUUGCAUGGUAUCCCUGUUUUAGUGAAGGAUAAUAUUGCAACGAAAGAUAAGAUGAACACGACUGCGGGUUCUUAACUCGGUGGUGCCUCGAGAUGCCGGUGUGGUUAACAAGUUGAGGGAAGCAGGGGCGGUUAUACUUGGGAAAGCAAGCAUGAGUGAGUGGGCUCAUUUCAGAAGCUCAUCUGCACCUAAUGGUUGGAAUGCUAGAGCUAAACAAGCAUUUAACCCAUAUGUAGCAACUCUUGAUCCAUGUGGUUCAAGCACCGGAUCAGCUAUCAGUUGCAACGAACAUGGUUACUGUAUCAUUGGGCACAGAAACAGAUGGAUCAAUCCUAUGUCCUUCAAGUGCCAACUCAGUUGUCGGGAUCAAACCCACAGUUGGCCUCACAAGCCGAGCAGGAGUCAUUCCAGUUUCUCCUAUAUAAAUUUUUCAUUUAUGACAACAUGUGGUAUUUGGAUGUGUGUUAUUUAUGCUUUUUGUUGUAUAAUUUUAUAUUUAUUUGAAAUAUCAGUUUGUUUAUAUCAA